Non-coding RNA from Drosophila virilis, 161 nucleotides. The record is from Rfam. NCBI's taxonomy places the organism in Eukaryota, Metazoa, Arthropoda, Insecta, Diptera, Drosophilidae.
GAUUCGGGAAUUGGCCACUACCUCGCAGUCACGUGAUCCACAAACGCAGCCGGCUCUGGUGCUUGGGAAAAAUACAAUUUUCUUUUGUUUUCCUGGGCGCCGCAACGUUUUGCGUUCAUUUCAUAUUUCAUGUGAUGUGACGUAGUGGAACAUUCCUGACG